This 1057-nucleotide ribosomal RNA is filed under the name Pinus taeda (loblolly pine). Its description in RNAcentral is "SSU rRNA". It matches the Rfam family "Eukaryotic small subunit ribosomal RNA", at positions 750 to 1823 of the family's 1831-position model. Lineage: Eukaryota; Viridiplantae; Streptophyta; Pinopsida; Pinales; Pinaceae. The record is from RNAcentral.
NNNNNNNUUGAAAAAAUUAGAGUGCUCAAAGCAAGCUUAUGCUCUGAAUACAUUAGCAUGGAAUAACGUGAUAGGAGUCUGGUCCUAUUGUGUUGGCCUUCGGGACCGGAGUAAUGAUUAAUAGGGACUGUCGGGGGCAUUCGUAUUUCAUUGUCAAAGGUGAAAUUCUUGGAUUUAUGAAAGACGGACCACUGCGAAAGCAUUUGCCAAGGAUGUUUUCAUUAAUCAAGAACGAAAGUUGGGGGCUCGAAGAUGAUUAGAUACCGUCCUAGUCUCAACCAUAAACGAUGCCAACCAGGGAUCGGCGAAUGUUGCUCUAAGGACUCCGCCAGCACCUUCUGAGUAAUCAGAGUGUUUGGGUUCCGGGGGGAGUAUGGUCGCAAGGCUGAAACUUAAAGGAAUUUACGGAAGGGCACCACCAAGAGUGGAGCCUGCGGCUUAAUUUGACUCAACACGGGGAAACUUACCAAGCCCAGACAUAGUAAGGAUUGACAGAUUGAGAGCUCUUUCUUGAUUCUAUGGGUGGUGGUGCAUGGUCAUUCUUAGUUGGUGGAGCGAUUUGUCUGGUUAAUUCCGAUAACGAACGAGACCUCAGCCUGCUAACUAGCUACACGGAGUUUCCCUUUCGCGGCCAGCUUCUUAGAGGGACUAUGGCCGUUUAGGCCAUGGAAGUUUGAGGCAAUAACAGGUCUGUGAUGCCCUUAGAUGUUCUGGGCCGCACACGCGCUACACUGAUGCAGCAAAUGAGAUUUUCUUUCUGGUUCGAGAGGAUUGGGAAAUCUUCUCAAAUUGCAUCGUGAUGGGGAUAGACCAUUGCAAUUAUUGGUCUUCAACGAGGAGUUCCUAGUAAGUGCGUGUCAUCAACUCGUGUUGACUACGUCCCUGCCUUUUUUACACACCGCCCAUUGCUCCUACCGAUUGAAUGAUCCGGUGAGGUGUUCGAAUUGCGUCGACGAUGGUGGUUCGCCGCCAUCGACAUCGUGAGAAGUUCAUUGAACCUUAUCAUUUAGAGGAAGGAGAAGUCGUAACAAGGUUACCGUAGGUGAACUUAAGGUAG